GUUUGUAUUUAUUCGAGACCGCCUAGAACCACCACGGUCCGGAUGUUUGUAUUUAUUCGAGAAGUUUUAUCAUAGCACUCUUCUGGCAGUUCUCACUUCUCACCAGAGAUCAUAUUCAAAGGUAGUACUAUAUUAAGUCUCAGUUGGCGAGGUAGAAGAUUCUGAAAUGGGAGACUCAUCGGAAUCUUUAUCAACUGCCAUGAUUGAAUUGCUUCCCUGAAAGUGGCCAAAAUUCAUCCUCUGUGCAAUUGAAUCGCAAAGAUGGAUUUUGGCCAUUUCAGGGAAGCUUUUCUUUGGUAUCAUUCACGCAAAAUCACAUUUGAAAAUUGAAACCCAUUUGCCUACUGAUCCAUAUGUAAAUAAGGUGGUAUGAUAUCCUUCUGUGUCAUUUUCUUUACUUUUGAUGAGGGUUAGCAUUAUCGUAGUCACUGGUUCUAUUACUGGACCUUUUUACAAUAUCAUGAGAUAAUGUUUUCUUCAUAAGUACUGCAUGUGAUAAUGCCCUGCUUUUUAAUGCAUUUGAUAUUGUCCUGCCGUUUGCUUAGGAAUAUCUUAAAUUAAAACAUGCCAUAUGUUUUGUCUAAAAUAGAAUUAGUUGUGGAUAAUAAGGUUAUAAACAUUGGAUCACGUUAAGAUCGCACUUAUGUGGAAAAGCAAACACAGAAGAAUAUGGAGCCUCAAAUUGAUCCCAGUUUCGGUUUAUAUGGUGUAAAUAGGAUUAAGGUAGAUACUCUUCAUAGUUAAGUGGUGCAUUAUUAUCUGGAUCAUGAUACAUUUCUCCUUAUUUAUAAUAUCACGGAGUCCUUAAAAUUGUGAGCAAAAUCAGGUAGAAAGUAAUAAGGAAAACUUACGGAUGGAGAGAGUUUUCAGUGAGACAUAAUGUCUCGCCUUACAUCUUGUGAGAGGAUAACAUUUACUGUCAAUAGUAGCAGGUAGGAAAUUUUUAAAGGAAAGUUUGCCUCUAACAGCAAUGCCAGGAGCCUUGGAUGAUGCAUAUGAUGGUCAAGAAUGGGAUUGAUGGUUCACCAGUUUAGAGAUUAAUUGAAGGCGAUGCUCAAUAUGUUAUGACUGAGGUUGACUUUAGCAAGGAAGGUUCGCUCUUGGAUGAGAUAAGGUUGCUUAUUCAGUAAUUGCAUUCUACGGUUCUACUUGAUGGAGUUUCUCUCUUAGGUGUCGCGUUAAGGUGGCACACCAUUUUGCUAGGAUUGCACUUCAUUUGCAUGAACCUUUGUUGUGUUUAGAAGCUCCAUGGCUUUCAUGUUUUGCUAAUGAUGUUAUUGAGUCAUGAGUUCAAUGGAUUUCAUUCACUUUUUCAUGAUAAAAGAAAAAAUCUUAAGUUGAAUAUUAGAAUUUUGAAAUAUAAAGUAGGGGUUGGCUGCAUACCAGUUUGACAUGACUCGAACUCAAUGAAAAAGUUGAGGGAUUGAGACAUUGAGUGCACCGGUCCUUAGUACUUAUCCUAUACAAACUCAAAUAUGAGAUGAUCUGCUACUAUGAAAUAAACAGAUUGAAUUAGUCAGCAAUAAGUAACUCAAUUUACCUCAAUUUAAUUAAAAAUAAAGAAAACAGAACAAGAUAUUUUUCUUACUUUUUUGAGUAAAAUAGAACUUUUAUUUAUCAGAUGGCAAAGCACUUGCCUCUCAGAUCCCAAGUUUCUAUUCUGAUACAGAGAACCACCUUCAUUUAAGUAUUUACCAUACACUUCUCUACUAUUCGGCAUCUCUAACCAGAAGACCAUCUUCAGAGGUAGUUGUUGAAAGCUUCUUUUUUUUUUUUUGCUUUCUUCAUUAUUUUAAUUAUUAUGCAUUUGAUUGUGAAUUGUCUGCAACUAAUUUGUGAGAUGUUCUUUUGUUCAUUUUUAGUAAUCUCAUGUGUUAUGGAGAUUCUUAGCUUUUUUUUGUUUUUGUUUUUGUUUUUUAUAUAAGAAUUGCAAUGUUAGUGAUGCUCACCAGGUGUUUCAAGACAAGGUUUUAGUUUUAGUGGUGUUGAGGCAAUAGGAACUAUGUCAAAAGCAUUAUACUUAUAUCAGCUCAUUUUGUUGAUGUGAUGGUAAGCUUGUUUCCUUGUGGUACACCUUUUCCAAAUUUUAUAAACAUUUCCGAAAAACGAAGUUAUGUCUGUUAUGGUAUCUGGAGGACAUAUGGGGAUGGCCUUAUGCUCAUCCUUUCUAAUAUGAUUUAUGUUUCUUGAGCUCCACUAAUGCAACAUAGUUCUCAAGUAUUGUUUGAAAAUCUUUGUAAUUUGUCAUAAUAACCACUAAAUUAUUCUUGUUUGCUUUUCAUCACUGAAAAUUUCUUUUCUGUGUGUUGCUAUAUUUUUGGUUUUGUUUUUAUUGAAAACAUGAUAGUGCAGACCUUUGAUAAGUUAGUUGUUAAGCCCCUCUUGGCAAAGCAGAAACCCAGAAAUGGCAGAUUCGGCCCAACCCUCAUCAAAUCCCACUGUUGAAUUUCAUGGCGAUGAAUUCUGGCCACUUUUGGGGAAUCCUUUCUUUGAUAUGUACUCUCAAAUCUCAUAUGAAUCCCUUAAAUGGCAGGAGCGGGGAGAUGACAUGGAAUGGAUCUCACAGAACUAGUAAAAGCUUCGAUAGAAAGUGAUGGAGAACAUUUAUUGAUGACAACAAUUUGAGGCUUGGACAUGGAUGUGUGUUCGAACUUAUGGAGUGCAGCACUACAAGACUAGUAUUCAGAGUCCAAAUCCUCAGAGGUGACAUCCCAGCUGAACUUAUCAUCUGUGAGGAUGCAGAGAAAGCCAUUGUUUUGUAACAAUAUUGCCUUUUCAGGUGCUACUAUAAUGUAUAAAAUUAUGUAUGGCCUAUUAAGUUGACUUGACGGACUUGUACAGUUUUUUUUUUUUUUUUUGCUCUUAAUAUUACUUCUUCAAUAU
Molecule: long non-coding RNA, 2883 nt
Organism: Rosa rugosa (rugosa rose)
Lineage: Eukaryota; Viridiplantae; Streptophyta; Magnoliopsida; Rosales; Rosaceae
Exons: 3
Source: RefSeq, a predicted model, not a curated record